This 1516-nucleotide long non-coding RNA is filed under the name Equus caballus (horse). Its description in RNAcentral is "lncRNA (ENSECAG00000050982.1)". Lineage: Eukaryota; Metazoa; Chordata; Mammalia; Perissodactyla; Equidae. The record is from RNAcentral.
UACAGUUAAGGAGACGAUCUCAGGCUAAAUUCAGUUCACCCCUGCAGUUAGUGAAUGUUGGCUAUUAUGAUUAUUGAGUUGCCUGGACCUCAAGGAGAUGCCACGUCUGAGCCACAGAGGACCACGGUUGGCUGAAGGACCGCAAAGCAGAAAGGCCGUCAGGCAGGAAAAGCAGGCUGGAUACAAGAACUGGAAGAAGGCCACGGUGUGGCAGGAGUGGUGACACGUGGACUGGGCUCCAGGCUGACAGCCCCCGCCUUUCUCCUGGAGUAAGCAGAGCUGCGAGUGGAUUUGCGUUUCUGAUGGCUUCCUCAGGCUACAGAGAGGAGAAUGGGUUAUGGAGGAAAAGCUUGAGGCCUUCGGCAGUGAUGUUUCUCUGAGGAGCCUGCCCGACGUCUGUGUCAUGUCUUCACACUCUGGCUGGUCGCUCUGGGACCUAUUUCCCGUCCCGUCUCGCGUGCUGGGGCACAGGGCUGCGGGACACAGACCUUCGUUGUCAGAGCGACUUCAGUCGACAGUGACCGAACGAACAGCCAGAUUCCAGUCUGCACACCCGUCCUGCCCUGCACGAAGGCUGGCAGAGCCGGGCUGGCUCUCCCAGGGAGCUGAGCCAGGAGACGUCAGCCCACACCUGCGCCGUGGGGCUCUUCCCAACCCCAGGGGGUGGACGGCGGCCAAGACGCACAGCUGUUUCUGCCUCCAGACGCCUAGAAAGGAGCUCGCAUGCUCCCCUCGCAACUGGUAGACGUCAGCUCAGCGAUGGGCAGCCCAGUCUUCCUGCGCUGGAGGCUGCCCCCAGCCGAGAGUGUCGAACCAGCCUCCUCAUUCUCCUACGAUGGUAGCUCCUCAAUCUUUCUCUUGUGUUAUCAGGACCGUGUGCAUCAGUGUUUGGAUUCUAGACUCUGGGAAUGAAAGACCAUGGCACGUAUCAUCUGAGCUACCCUUUGCCCAGCGUUGACUUAAGAGGCUCGAUUUCCCAGCCAGCUCCAAGGACGUGUUCACGUGUCCUUCAUUCCUUCACUCAACAAGCACUCAUUGAACGCCAGGCGCAGUGUCAACAGUAACUAUACAGACGUGGCCCUGGCUUCACGGAGCCAACGGGACAUGGGGGACACACACAGUGGUAGCUUACACCUACACAGUGCCCACCAUGGGCUACUUUACAAAUGCCAAUCUACUUAAUUCUCACAACUUCUCCAUUUAAAAGAUGAGGAAUCUGAGGCUCUGAGAAGUUAAGUAAACUGCUCACGGUGGCCCAGCCUGGAAAGGGUAGAUCCAGGACUCAGACCCAGGCCGCCAGGCUGCAGAGCCCUUGCAUUUGAUUCCGACCUGAUUCUGAGCAAAGGUGACCAGCUAAUGCACAGAUAUAUGGAGGAUUCAGAGAACGAAAAGAAUAGAGGACCGUGGUGGGGAAAUAGUGUGGUCAGAUCCCACAUACGCGGGGUCACGUGUAAGCUGAGGAAAGAAAGCUGAGAAGGACCCAGCCAGGGGGCAACGGUUCAUACGGGCGUCUUGA